AUUCCCUUAGUAUAAGCAAUACAACUGACUUCCAA
RNAcentral lists this transfer RNA (35 nucleotides) under Rattus exulans (Polynesian rat). RNAcentral's name for it is "partial tRNA-Gly". The record is from RNAcentral. Lineage: Eukaryota; Metazoa; Chordata; Mammalia; Rodentia; Muridae.